This 363-nucleotide ribosomal RNA is filed under the name uncultured bacterium. RNAcentral's name for it is "partial 16S ribosomal RNA". It matches the Rfam family "Bacterial small subunit ribosomal RNA", at positions 338 to 698 of the family's 1533-position model. The record is from RNAcentral.
CCUACGGGAGGCAGCAGUGAGGAAUAUUGGUCAAUGGACGCAAGUCUGAACCAGCCAUGCCGCGUGCAGAAAGACGGCUCUAUGAGUUGUAAACUGCUUUUGUACGAGGGCAAACGCAGAUACGCGUAUCUGUCUGAAAGUAUCGUACGAAUUAGGAUCGGCUAACUCCGUACCAGCAGCCGCGGUAAUACGGAGGAUGAAUGCGUUAUCCGGAUUUAUUGGGUUGAAAGGGUGCGUAGGCGGUCGGAUAAGUUAGAGGUGAAAUCCCGGGGCUCAACUUCGGAAUUGCAUCUGAUACUGUGCGACUAGAGAGUAGUUGCGGUAGGCGGAAUGUAUGGUGUAGCGGUGAAAUGCUUAGAGAUC